Molecule: long non-coding RNA, 1481 nt
Organism: Sapajus apella (tufted capuchin)
Lineage: Eukaryota; Metazoa; Chordata; Mammalia; Primates; Cebidae
Exons: 2
Source: RefSeq, a predicted model, not a curated record
GUGAUCCACCCGCCUCGGCCUCCCAAAGUGCUGGGAUUACAGGCUUGAGCCACCGCGCCCGGCCUGUUGGUGGUCUUAAUGCUUUUAUAUAUUUGGGGAUUUUUGAGUCCCCCCACCACCACACACACAGACACCUGGAAGGGACCAUCUGGAAGGUGAUAGGUGUGGGGAUAUGACUCCUUCUGGAGCCCUCUAGACUGGCACAUUGAUUGAAGUGGCAUAGUUCUCUACCCUGGGCAGAUCUGUGGAGGGGGGCUCAUCCUGGCUUAACCCCCAAAGACACCCCAGUUGGCUCCCUAAUGGAGGGCAAGCGAUUUAACAUCUUUGUGCUGAAGAGGAAAUGGUGGAGUGAGAACUGGCUCAACCCCUGAGGCAGUAGUAGGAGUCUCAGACCUGGAAAUUUUUUUUUUUUUAAGUAAAGAUUUCAGGAAUCAAUGGAAGUUUCUUAAACCUGACUGAAGGGUCCAGCCUCAGCUACAAUGACAAGGCCAUGGGGCAGGGGAGUGGAGAGGAACCCCAUAGAUCACAGGCAUACUUCCUCCUGUGUCCCCAUAUGGGCCUGCCUUAGACAUUCUGUGGAGCGAUGCAUUUUGCAUCCCUGAGCUGGAUUUGCACCCAUGUCAGUGAAAUAAGUGGAAAUGAGUUCUUGCGGAUGUAGCUGUGGGGAGGACGACCACAGUUAUUGUCAAUCUCCCCAAGUAGAAUGUCAGCUCCAGAAGGACCUGGAUUUUAAUCCAUCUUGUUCACUGUCCUGUCUCUGUUCCUUGACCAGGACCUGACUCAUAGCAGACUGUCAAUAUUUGCUAAAUGAAUGAAUGACACAGAUGUGCUCCAUUACUGCCUCUUGGGUCAAUAUUGCCAAGCCUGUCCCCUCUAUUUGCUGGUGAUCUCAGAGGGACCAAAGCCUCCUCUCUGGUUGAUGCGAGUCUCGGCCUGGCCUUUGAAACAGGACAAAUCUGGUUUGCAUCCUGACUUUUCCCUGAAUCUGGAGUCUCUCCCAGAAUCUGCAGCUUCCCCCACCCCAUCGGUGUCUGUUCCCCUCUUCUAGUAGCAACAACUUGAUAUUCUCUGGAGACCCACCCUUCUGCCAUUUUCAGUCCACAUGGUUAGGGCGGGGCUGACUGCAGCCCCCAGCAAAGGUGGGGCAUGUGACUGAAGCCAGAGAAGCAGCCUUGGGACUUUGGUUGGAACUACAAAGGAACAGUGACUCUCCUAUUGGCUGCUAAAUUGGUGGUGUGUCUGUGUCACAGUGGAGGGAGGCUUAGCAUGACUGACUCCAUUUUGCGUCUGAUGGCCUGUAGUAAUAUCCUUUAGGUAAAAAGCUUCUGCUUAGCUUUGGGUGUAGACCAGCUAAUUAUAGAAGGAAUUUAUAGUUCAUCUUUAGAAAAAAAUAACAGUUCCUUUCCCAAAACUAACCACCCCACCAGGAGAUCAGGAAACUGUACACACAAGUAACAAUGUUAUAAUAAAGAUAUACAAGA